RNAcentral lists this long non-coding RNA (2652 nucleotides) under Triticum aestivum (bread wheat). RNAcentral describes it as "long non-coding RNA (TAES_LNC023347)". The record is from RNAcentral. Lineage: Eukaryota; Viridiplantae; Streptophyta; Magnoliopsida; Poales; Poaceae.
GGACAACAAAAGCAGCAAUCUUUCAGCAUACCACAAGGAUGGGCUCUGCUUUGGUGCCAAAUAGGAUUUGUACCACUGGAAAGGAAGUGUGUCUGGUUUGAUGGCCGGUUAGCUGGUGUUAGUCUGUUUAUUUUUCAGUCUUAUUGUCUGUUUCUGCUGGGGUUGUGUCAAGACUUGAUGUGCCCUCUUGCUUUAUUUCAGUAAAAUUAUGUUGAUGUGCGGGCAUGAUGUAAUGAACUUUUGUUUUAAUGAAUAAGUUUAUUAAAGCAUAUAUGUUCUCCUCACGGCUCCAUUCGCAUGCUUCUGUUCCGAAUUAUAUUUUCUCGAUUAAGGUAUGCAGCAAGGUUGGAAGAAACUCACUGAACAUCUUGGCAGCGCACAGCACCAAGUCAGCGAUAUAUUGUACAUGCACUGACCCUUGCCCACCAUGUUCAUGAAAAUUUGAGCUUAAACUUCAGAAGCCCACGCACCGAGUUCUCAUACUGAUCAGGCUCCAACUGAUGUGCAGACAUAUGGUAAGUGGUUUCUCUAUGGUAAGAGUACACCUUGCCGAGAACGUUGAUAUCUUCCUUUGUCUGGUUUCAUCAAUGCUCUUCUCCAGUCAUUGGGUUAUACAAUUGGCUUUGCUGCCAAGACUGAGAUGUAGCCGAGUACGAUAUAUAUGUAGCAUAAAGUAUGGUCUCAAAGUAUGUACACACAGUUGAGGGCAUCAAUGCAAUGUGAUAACUCAAAUAUUUUCUGAACCAUGCCUCUGCAACCAACUCAUUAGUUGCUCCAUCCAGGUCUUCUGUGAGCUGGCUAAAGUAAACUAGCAAAGUACCAUUCAUCUUGCACAGUUGUAUGAUUAUUCAGCAGCUCUUUGUAGGUCAUCGACUAUAGUUCUCUGCUUAUUUAACGGUUGGUCAGUUUUGCUGUCGAGGCCUCCAUGUAGUAGGUCUGGGUUUGGUGGCUCCAUGGUGUGGCCUAAGGUAUUUGCCUGUCGGAUUUCUUCACUGUUCUUCAGUUUUGCAUUUGGUUUCUCACACCUGUUCUUUCUUCUUGGUCAUGAGCAGGUGGAUCUGUCAGUCUGCAUGCUCGGCUCGUUGUGUUCUUGCCUGGCUGGUCGUCGACCCUGAGGUAUGCUCUCCUCUCCGCCUCGCUUCAGUAUCUUGUGCUCAUGCUGCCACUGAAGCUCUGAGCUUCCCUUUUCCCUGCAGUUCUGUUCUCAUAUUCCCCUUCUGCCGCUGUUUCCUCCCACUUAACCAUCCAGCGUCCCUGCACUUCCCGCAUCCGUUCGUCUGCUCGUGUGGUUCUAGUUCAUGCCUACUAUGGAUGUUUGCCCAUGGUGUUGAACCUGCUGCAGUUUGGGCGCCAGGACGUGCUGCUUGGUCAUGUUUUUGUGGUGCGUGUUCAGGCUGUUUGUUGAUAUGCGCCUUUGAAACACUAGAACAAUUCGCUCAUCAUACCUUGAGUUUUGAAGUCUUCACUUUCAGCACUGUAGUUGUACAUGCGAGCUCAUGUUGCAACGCCAUCAGCUGCAUGCUAUAUAUGCACAAUUACUUACCAAAUUGAUAGGCCAUGUUGAUUAUUUACAUUCAACAUAACAGAAAACAAACUGGGCAAGCUUACCUAUCAUUACCUUGGAUGGGUCACAAAAUGCAGAGAUGGGUCACACAGUGUGUCAGCACGAUGCUGAUCCACAAAGGCAACUAGAGGAUUUCCUGGCAGGAAAUCAUAAAUAAACGAGAUAGAAAAACCAAAUUCAUCUUCAGGACAAGUGAAACCAUGACAACAACUUCUGUAGAGAAUGCCUGACCACUGAGGCUACACUUAAUGCCAACAGAAAAAAAAUGAUCCAUGGCUCCUUUGAGAUUGUCUAUCUUUUACAUUUUGUUCCAUAUUCUUCUCAUAUAACAUAGACAAACAAGGUUUUGAAAAUAGAUUAAUAGAACUUCCUUUUUAGGAAUAAAAAAUAGAACUUCUGUCCUGAAUAAGUUGAAAUUCGAGAUGACUGCACCUGCGUAAUUUUUGUUAGGUAGAUUAUCUUUUUUGUGAUGUUUUUGAACAUACACAUGCUUACUAACCCUAAAUCAUUUCUUCUCCUUCACAAUAGGAGAUUUGGGAUUAUACAUGUUGCUCAAGUAUGCCAUGAGGUAUUUUUCUCUCUUCAGUGAUUUACAAUUACUGUCAAUGGUAAAUUUGAGGUUCCAUGGCAUGUUUUGCAUUUUACAUCUUAGGAAAAUUCACAUUGGUAAUUGGAUUAUAGAAGUUUGUGUUGUUGAAUCUGUGGUUGAACUGGCAGGUGUAGACAUCUGAAUGUGUAAUUUUGUGCUUUGUGUUGAUGUAACAUAUAAUCAGGUUUGGUGGUUGCUUAUUCUUUCCUGUAACUGGGACAUGCAUUUUACUUUCACGUAUCUUUCUGCUGGGGUUGUGUCAAGACUUGAAGUGCCCCCUUGCUUUAUUUCAGUUAAAUUAUGUUGAUGUGCGGGCAUGAUGUAAUGAACCUUCGUUUUAAUGAAUAAGUUUAUUAAAGCCUAUGUUCUUCUCACCGGUCCAUUCGCAUGCUUCUGUUCUUUUCUUGGUAUUUUGCAAUUGUUUGAUCAUUUGCCAAUCCAGGAAGAAACUGUCUGUAUCCUAGGAAGACUGAACUGUCACAGGAACCAAAUAGCUGUU